This 119-nucleotide ribosomal RNA is filed under the name Pteropus alecto (black flying fox). Lineage: Eukaryota; Metazoa; Chordata; Mammalia; Chiroptera; Pteropodidae. The record is from RNAcentral.
GUCUACAGCCAUACCAUCCUGAACAAGCCCGAUCUUGUCUGAUCUGGGAAGCUAAGCAGGGUCGGGCCUGGUUAGUACUUGGAUGGGAGACCACCUAGGAAGACUGGGUGCUGUAGGCG